GAUGAACGCUGGCGGCGUGCCUAAUACAUGCAAGUCGAACGAUUAAAGCACCUUCGGGCGUGUAUAAAGUGGCGAACGGCUGAGUAACACGUGGGCAAACUGCCCCCUUCAUUGGGAUAGCCACGGGAAACAGUGGAUAAUACCGAAUACUUCGAGACUUCCGCCUGGAAGACCAGAGAAAGCUCAGGCGGAGGGGGACGGGCCCGCGGCCUGUGAGCUUGCUGGUGGGGUAACGGCCUACAAAGGCAUUCACGGGUAGCCGGGUUGAGAACCCGACCAGGCAGAUCAGUACUGAGGCACGGCGCAGACGCGAAUGGGAGGCAACAGUCGGAAAUCUUACACAAUGAGGGAGCGCCUGUUGCAGCGACGCCGCGAGCGGAAAAAAGGCCUUCGAGUUGUAAACCACUUUCAGCAGGGACGAGGCGAAAGUGACGGUACCUACAGAAAAAGCCCCGGCUAACUACGUG
RNAcentral lists this ribosomal RNA (467 nucleotides) under uncultured bacterium. Its description in RNAcentral is "partial 16S ribosomal RNA". It matches the Rfam family "Bacterial small subunit ribosomal RNA", at positions 28 to 507 of the family's 1533-position model. The record is from RNAcentral.